Molecule: long non-coding RNA, 375 nt
Organism: Ictalurus punctatus (channel catfish)
Lineage: Eukaryota; Metazoa; Chordata; Actinopteri; Siluriformes; Ictaluridae
Source: Ensembl
GUUAGUACUUGGUUGGGAGACUGAAUGGGAAUACUAGGUGCUGUAAGCUUUUUAUUUGGAUCAGUGUUUUCAUGGCCUCUGCACAACAUCCUGUUUUGGGAUAAAGGUUGGACACAGGUUUGAAGGGGACCCAAUCAAUCAAUCAAUCAAUCAGUCAGUCAGUCAGUCAGUCAGUCAGUCUUUUGAUUACACUAUUUAAAUAGCCCCAUUUGGGGUCAGCUUUCGCUUACGGCCAUACCACUCUGAAAAAGCCUGAUCUCAUCUGACCUCGGAAGCAAAGCAGAGUUGGGCCUGGUUAGUACUUGGUUGGGAGACUGAAUGGGAAUACUAGGUGCUGUAAGCUUUUUAUUUGGAUCAGUGUUUCAUGGCCUCUGC